GACGAACCCGUACGAACGUUAUUCGGAAUCACUGGGCUUAAAGGGUGCGUAGGCGGCGCAGAAAGUAGGGUGUGAAAUCCCUCGGCUUAACCGAGGAACUGCGCCCUAAACUACUGUGCUCGAGGGAGAUAGAGGUGAGCGGAACUUAGGGUGGAGCGGUGAAAUGCGUUGAUAUCCUAAGGAACACCGGUGGCGAAAGCGGCUCACUGGAUCUCUUCUGACGCUGAGGCACGAAAGCUAGGGUAGCGAACGGGAUUAGAAACCCGAGUAGU
RNAcentral lists this ribosomal RNA (272 nucleotides) under uncultured bacterium. RNAcentral describes it as "partial 16S ribosomal RNA". It matches the Rfam family "Bacterial small subunit ribosomal RNA", at positions 524 to 794 of the family's 1533-position model. The record is from RNAcentral.